CAGCGAGACUCCGUGGGCGUAGGACCCUACGAGCCAGGUGUGGGAUGUAAUCUCAUGAGCUGGUAUACGAUGCCUCUCCAGAAUCACCUUGUUCUUUCUGGAUCUAUUCAGAAUCUGAAACUCCUAGAAAAGAAAAAUGCAAGAUGCAUGAGGUGGAAAAUGAAGCACAGAGAAGUUCAGUGAUGGACCUCAGAUACUACCAGCAGAAAGCAGAAGAGCUAGGAUUUCAACUUAGGAUGUCUGGAUCCACAGUCUGCACUCCUACCCACUAUGCUACACUGCCUCUAACUAUGAGGAAGCAAGGGCAUUUUUUUUUUUCUGGUGACUAAAAAGAUAAGAGUUCAAGUAUGUGGCUCCUGAUAAUCUAACUUAUACAGCCUGGAAAAAUUGAUAGUUACUAUAUCCAGACUGUCUCAUUCAAUUAACAGUUUCUCAAGUAAUCUUCUAGUUACUGUCGUAUUUUAUCUGUAUCAACUUAGCAAACCAAGUCCAAAACAUUUUAUAUGUGUCUAUCUUUCCUGCUGUUCAUAUUAUUGAGUUAGCCAAAUAAAUUCAAUUUUUUUUCUACUGUUUGUUUCUCACAAAUUAUGACUGGCAUCUGUAUAUCUGGGAAGGUUCUACUGCAUUGCUGUAUUAUCACUAUAUAAUUAUAAGAGAUCACAGAGUGCAUUGAUGAAGGCCAUGUUGAGACAUGAUGAAACAGGGUCCAUUGUGACUGGGUGAAACUGUCUUCAAUUUCCUGGUCUAUAAAGCAGAG
Molecule: long non-coding RNA, 757 nt
Filed under: Homo sapiens (human)
Lineage: Eukaryota; Metazoa; Chordata; Mammalia; Primates; Hominidae
Description: HSALNT0073785
Source: RNAcentral